This 194-nucleotide ribosomal RNA is filed under the name uncultured Glomus. RNAcentral's name for it is "partial 18S ribosomal RNA". It matches the Rfam family "Eukaryotic small subunit ribosomal RNA", at positions 569 to 766 of the family's 1831-position model. The record is from RNAcentral. Lineage: Eukaryota; Fungi; Glomeromycota; Glomeromycetes; Glomerales; Glomeraceae.
AGCAGCCGCGGUAAUUCCAGCUCCAAUAGCGUAUAUUAAAGUUGUUGCAGUUAAAAAGCUCGUAGUUGAAUUUCGGGAUCAAUUUGUCGGUCGUGCCUCGGUACGUACUGGUAUUAUUGGUUUCUACCUUCUGAAGAACCUUGAUGUCAUUAAUUUGGUGUUAUGGGAAGUUAGGACUGUUACUUUGAAAAAAU